CCUACGGGGGGCAGCAGUGGGGGAUAUUGCACAAUGGGGGAAACCCUGAUGCAGCGACGCCGCGUGAGUGAAGAAGUAUUUCGGUAUGUAAAGCUCUAUCGGCAGGGAAGAAAAAAAUGACAGUACCUGACUAAGAAGCCCCGGCUAACUACGUGCCAGCAGCCGCGGUAAUACGUAGGGGGCAAGCGUUAUCCGGAUUUACUGGGUGUAAAGGGAGCGUAGGCGGCCAUGCAAGUCAGAAGUGAAAACCCGGGGCUCAACCCUGGGAGUGCUUUUGAAACUGUGCGGCUAGAGUGUCGGAGGGGUAAGUGGAAUUCCUAGUGUAGCGGUGAAAUGCGUAGAUAUUAGGAGGAACACCAGUGGCGAAGGCGGCUUACUGGACGAUGACUGACGCUGAGGCUCGAAAGCGUGGGGAGCAAACAGGAUUAGAUACCCGGG
RNAcentral lists this ribosomal RNA (438 nucleotides) under uncultured bacterium. RNAcentral describes it as "bacterial SSU rRNA". It matches the Rfam family "Bacterial small subunit ribosomal RNA", at positions 338 to 790 of the family's 1533-position model. The record is from RNAcentral.